GCGCGAAAACUUUGCAAUACACGAAAGUGUGACAGGGCUAUCCCGAGUGCCAUCCGCUGAGGAAGGCUUUUACCCAGUCUAGAACGCUGGGGGAAUAAGGAGAGGGCAAGUCUGGUGUCAGCCGCCGCGGUAAUACCAGCUCUCCGAGUGGUGUGGAUGUUUAUUGGGCCUAAAGCAUCCGUAGCUGGCUAAGUUAGUCCCUUGUUAAAUCCACCGAAUUAAUCGUUGGAUUGCGGGGGAUACUGCUUGGCUAGGGGACGAGAGAGGCAGACGGUAUUUCCGGGGUAGGGGUGAAAUCCUAUAAUCCCGGGAAGACCACCAGUGGCGAAGGCUGUCUGCUAGAACGCGCCCGACGGUGAGGGAUGAAAGCUGGGGGAGCGAACCGGAUUAGAUACCCGGGUAGUCCCAGCUGUAAACGAUGCAGGCUAGGUGUUUGGACGGCCACGUGCCGUUCUAGUGCCGCAGGGAAGCUGUUAAGCCUGCCGCCUGGGGAGUACGAUCGCAAGAUUGAAACUUAAAGGAAUUGGCGGGGGAGCC
This 537-nucleotide ribosomal RNA is filed under the name uncultured archaeon. RNAcentral describes it as "bacterial SSU rRNA". It matches the Rfam family "Archaeal small subunit ribosomal RNA", at positions 339 to 878 of the family's 1478-position model. The record is from RNAcentral.